RNAcentral lists this ribosomal RNA (641 nucleotides) under uncultured Hyphomicrobiales bacterium. Its description in RNAcentral is "bacterial SSU rRNA". It matches the Rfam family "Bacterial small subunit ribosomal RNA", at positions 28 to 717 of the family's 1533-position model. The record is from RNAcentral. Lineage: Bacteria; Pseudomonadati; Pseudomonadota; Alphaproteobacteria; Hyphomicrobiales.
AGCGAACGCUGGCGGCAGGCUUAACACAUGCAAGUCGAGCGCCCCGCAAGGGGAGCGGCAGACGGGAGAGUAACACGUGGGAACAUACCUUUUGGUUCGGAACAACUGAGGGAAACUUCAGCUAAUACCGGAUAAGCCCUUACGGGGAAAGAUUUAUCGCCGAAAGAUUGGCCCGCGUCUGAUUAGCUAGUUGGUGAGGUAACGGCUCACCAAGGCGACGAUCAGUAGCUGGUCUGAGAGGAUGAUCAGCCUCACUGGGACUGAGACACGGCCCAGACUCCUACGGGAGGCAGCAGUGGGGAAUAUUGGACAAUGGGCGCAAGCCUGAUCCAGCCAUGCCGCGUGAGUGAUGAAGGCCUUAGGGUUGUAAAGCUCUUUUGCCCGGGAAGAUAAUGACGGUACCGGGAGAAUAAGCCCCGGCUAACUUCGUGCCAGCAGCCGCGGUAAUACGAAGGGGGCUAGCGUUGCUCGGAAUCACUGGGCGUAAAGCGCACGUAGGCGGAUCUUUAAGUCAGGGGUGAAAUCCCGGAGCUCAACUCCGGAACUGCCUUUGAUACUGAGGAUCUUGAGUUCGAGAGAGGUGAGUGGAACUGCGAGUGUAGAGGUGAAAUUCGUAGAUAUUCGCAAGAACACCAGUGGCG